CACUCUCCGUAACAAACUCCACGUGGCCCUGAACAACCCUUGACUCCACUACUCUCCGUAACCAACUCCGCGUGGCCCUGAACAACCCCUGAUGCCACUACUCUCCAUAACAAACUCCAGGCGGCUCUGAACAGCCCAUUACCAGAUGGUUACAGACGUCGCUGUCAAUCAGUUACGCCCUCCGUCUAUAAAAAAGGGCCCCC
This 203-nucleotide long non-coding RNA is filed under the name Elaeis guineensis (African oil palm). RNAcentral describes it as "long non-coding RNA (EGUI_LNC039453)". Lineage: Eukaryota; Viridiplantae; Streptophyta; Magnoliopsida; Arecales; Arecaceae. The record is from RNAcentral.